AGAACGAACGCUGGCGGCAUGCCUAACACAUGCAAGUCGAACGUGAUCCAGGCUUCGGCCUGGUGAAAGUGGCAGACGGGUGAGUAACGCGUGGGAACCUGCCCUGUGGUAGGGAAUAACCGUGGGAAACUGCGGCUAAUACCCUAUGAGUCCUUCGGGAGAAAGAUUUAUCGCCAUAGGAGGGGCCCGCGUCGGAUUAGGUAGUUGGUGGGGUAACGGCCUACCAAGCCUUCGAUCCGUAGCUGGUCUGAGAGGAUGAUCAGCCACACUGGGACUGAGAUACGGCCCAGACUCCUACGGGAGGCAGCAGUGGGAAUAUUGGACAAUGGGGGCAACCCUGAUCCAGCAAUGCCGCGUGGAUGAUGAAGUCCCUUGGGACGUAAACUCCUUUCGAUCGGGACGAUUAUGACGGUACCGGAAGAAGAAGCCCGGCUAACUCGCGCCAGCAGCCGC
This 453-nucleotide ribosomal RNA is filed under the name uncultured bacterium. RNAcentral's name for it is "SSU rRNA". It matches the Rfam family "Bacterial small subunit ribosomal RNA", at positions 26 to 518 of the family's 1533-position model. The record is from RNAcentral.